Neopelma chrysocephalum (saffron-crested tyrant-manakin) is the source of this 751-nucleotide long non-coding RNA. RefSeq lists it as uncharacterized. The record is from RefSeq and is a predicted model, not a curated record. The transcript has 3 exons. NCBI's taxonomy places the organism in Eukaryota, Metazoa, Chordata, Aves, Passeriformes, Pipridae.
CGCGCCGUGCCAAGGACCCCUCGCGGCGAAGGCGGAGCGGGAACGGCGUGAGGGGAGAGAGAGGGUUGUGAGGGGGUUCGGACACCGGGUCUGAGGAGAUCCCCUCGCACCUGUUUGGUUCUGUGUCUCCCAUGGAAAGCACACACUCCCUGUGCCUCCCCUGCUCCAGAGUCCACCCCUUGUCCUGAGAAUACUCUCUUCUGGCUGCUGCGGCCAAAUGUGACCGAGGUCCCCGAGAUAAUGAAGCUCCUGCCUGUAAAAAUUGGAGAGGAGAAAGGUCCUUCAAAACCUGCAUUUCUUCUGGGCCAAACGCCUCACUAGAGCCACCGUUUACAAGGCAUAGGCCAGCCAGAUGAAUCAUAAAGUUUAUUUUCCCCACUUUAUUACAAAAUGAAUGUGAAACGUGGCUAUCCUAUUCCUAAAAAUGGAAUCAGUGAGAGCUUUUAGUUUGGACUUGCCAUCAGUGCUGUUUGGAGAGGAGUACAGCUCUCAGCAAACAAAUACGCCAGGCAGCAAAACAUCACCAGCACUGGGCUUCAGAAACCAUCUGACUGACAGAACAGCGAUUUUUUUACCAGUUUGGGUGUGUCUGAAUCCAGGAAGGCAGCCACAGACCCAGCUGCGUGGGAUCUGCCUGCAGUACCAUUUGCAGGCACUUCAGUACAGUGGAGCACAGCUCUGUGAAGACAAACCUGCUAAAUAAACAGACAUAAGAACAACCCUACUCCUGAAUAAGAAAAAAAUUACACCU